GAGGGACUCCAGGGAGACAUCAAGUCUGCAUAUAGUAACAUACUCUUGGGGGGAACCAAUCUAGUGUCAUGUGACUGCCCUCAUUCCAGAGAACCAGAAUUAAUGCACACGUGAGGAUGGGGCCUUCAGGAAUGAAUGACCUUUCACUCGGCCCUACCUCUCUGAGUUUCCACUGCUCCAAUACCACUGAACUGGAACCAAGUGACCUUCCAGAAUGUCAUUCUUUGGGAACAAAUCAAAUCACAUUAUCACGUCAUCCACAUUUUCAAGCUUUGGGAGAAAGGAUGUGGGCACAUAACUGGCCAUACAGCAUGAGAACUAUCAGAACCCAAGAGGACACACAGGACAGACAAUACUGCCCAGGAAGGUUCACAGAGAAGAAUACAUGUUCUGAUAUUUAAAAGAGAGAGAAGCUCAAUCUUGACCUUGGAUGGCCUUUGGAGCUGUCUGAAAUAGAGGGACAAUAGACAGGAUGAAUUACGCAAGCAUCAGUGGCUACCUUGGCUCUGCGUGCCUCCGUCUGAGUCUCGGCUAUAACAUAUCCACACUUGGAUACACCAGGCUUCUUAUUCUCUGGAUUCAACUGCCUCUGCUGACCUGCGCUGAACUGCACAAACUCAUGAAUGAACUCAACUCCAAUGCACUGCACCCACUGAAAUGACUCCCAACUCUCUGACCACCCUAUCUAUCUGCUUGUCUGUCUGUCUGUCUGUCUGUCUGUCUGUCUGUCUGUCUCCUUGUACUGCUCUCUGUGCUGUUCUCUUGAGAGUUGGGCAUAUUCGAUCUCUAACUCUAACUUUCAAAUCUUUCUCUGAUUCAUCACUUUGUUCUUCAACUAGAUGUCAAAUUUAAACAUGACUACUUCCUUUUACAACUUUAACCUUAAAGGUGUGUACUACAGGCAGGCCUGUAUUCCAGCCAGAUGGAUUAAAGUGUGUGACAGGUCUGCAUUCCAGGCAGAUCCCACA
This is a non-coding RNA of Rattus norvegicus (Norway rat), 968 nucleotides long. The record is from RefSeq and is a predicted model, not a curated record. Lineage: Eukaryota; Metazoa; Chordata; Mammalia; Rodentia; Muridae.